AUACGUAGGGAGCAAGCGUUGUCCGGAAUUACUGGGCGUAAAGAGCGUGUAGGCGGCCCUUUAAGUCAGAUGUGAAAACUCAGGGCUCAACCCUGAGACUGCAUCUGAUACUGGAGGGCUUGAGUGCAGGAGAGGAAAGUGGAAUUCCUAGUGUAGCGGUGAAAUGCGUAGAUAUUAGGAGGAACACCAGUGGCGAAGGCGACUUUCUGGACUGUAACCGACGCUGAGACGCGAAAGCGUGGGGAGCAAACAGGAUUAGAUACCCUGGUAGUCCACGCCGUAAACGAUGGGUUCUAGGUGUAGGAGGUAUCGACCCCUUCUGUGCCGUAGCAAACGCGAUAAGUACCCCGCCUGGGGAGUACGGCCGCAAGGUUGAA
This 377-nucleotide ribosomal RNA is filed under the name uncultured bacterium. Its description in RNAcentral is "bacterial SSU rRNA". It matches the Rfam family "Bacterial small subunit ribosomal RNA", at positions 523 to 898 of the family's 1533-position model. The record is from RNAcentral.